UUUUUUUUUUUUUUUUUAUAAAUUAUGUUGGAUCUCUUUUAGUUUUUUACAUUAGAAUCGGGUUGAACUGUGAACUGGAUGGAAAUCAUAGCGAAUGAAACUAAAUGGUUUCCAACUACAAUUAGUCUGAACUAUGAAGCCGGUUCAUAUGGCCAGGUGUAUUCUUACUUAUUGCUUGUAUAUAAUCAGUGAGGGUUGUUGAGAUGUAUUUUUGCAUUUUAACAUCAAAGGUUUUUUGUUGGUUCUAAAGUUUAUUCCGAAAAUAAUGGAAAAACAAGAUUUUUUCCCUCCUUUGAGAGGACAAGAAAACAUGUUUCUUGACUGGAAUUACAAGAAUUUGGGGUGCAAGUUUAGCUACAGGAACAAGAAUAAAUAAAUGUAAUUGUUUUUAUGAACCUGUAGUCUAACAAUGGCAUAUCAUCCCCUAGAUGAUCUUCAAACCUGCUCUUGCGAUUUCAAGUAAAAUUCAUUUACAAAAGUUGUUAUGCAAAAUGCUUUAAUGCCAUUCAAAUGUCGGUGCUGGGGAAAAAAGACCGAACGAUUGAUUAUUACUAUCAUAGAUAAGCAAGAAAAAGUGCAGAGGCUGAUGUUUGUAUAAGGUUCGUAUUUUUUUUUCUCCCUUUACAAUUAUAUGAAUAUACAUGAUGCAUAAUAGCUUCGUUCACAUUACGGGUCCAAAGAGAUGAGAUUUUAGUGGCCAGCUGUAGACAGAGAAAAGGAGCAAAUGGGUACUCAACAACUCAUUGAAAAUGACCAUCAUUACCAAUUGAAUUUACCAUCAAUCUCCAUCAAAUGGGAUGGAAUCAGUACCAUAGUUGUCUGUUUGUAUAUUUCAUCUAUGCGAACUACGGUACACUUCUAGUUAAAAUUGAAGAAAGAAACACAAAAAGAGAUCAUUUUUUCAAGAUCACAAUUUAUGGAAAAUAAAGAUCACAAUCAGAAUCACCAAUCCGAAGAUCUCCCACAAGUCCUGCUCUUAAAACCAACCCCAGUUAUGGCGGUUCUUGGAGAGCAUCAAUUUUCAUCAAACAAAUAUCAGUUCUUGAAAGCAUGGGAAUCGCCGCUUCCUCUUUACCAGUUCCUCACCAAAUAUGCCAAUUCUAUCCAAGCCAUUCUCUGCUCUGGUGCUGCUCCUGUCACUGACGACCUACUCCAGUUACUUCCCUCGGUGAGAUUAGUUGUCGCUGCCAGUGCUGGUACCAACCACAUCGACCUAAUGGCCUGUUGCCGACGGGGAAUUUCGGUCACCAAUGCCGGGAACGUGUUUUCGGACGACGGUGCGGACGCUGCGGUGGGUUUGUUGUUUGAUGUUUUGAGAAAGAUUUCCGCUGCUGAUCGGUACGUGAGGCAGGGCCUUUGGGUCAAGAAAGGGGACUAUGCUCUUGGUUCUAAGCUGGGAGGGAAGCGAAUUGGGAUAGUUGGAUUGGGAGGCAUAGGCUUACAAGUUGCUAAAAGACUGGAGGCUUUUGGCUGCAUUAUUUCUUACAAUUCAAGAAAGAAAAAGACGUUUGUUUCAUACCCAUUCUAUUCCAAUAUUUGUGAACUCGCAGCUGAUAGUGAUGCUCUCAUUAUUUGUUGUGCCUUGACGGAUCAAACCCGCCACAUGAUCAACAAGGAAGUCUUGAGUGCAUUAGGAAAAGAAGGAGUCAUAGUUAACAUUGGACGUGGAGCUAUCAUUGAUGAGAAGGAAUUGGUGAGGUGUUUGGUGGAAGGAGAGAUUGCGGGUGCAGGGUUGGAUGUGUUUGAGAAGGAGCCUGAUAUUCCUAAACAGCUCCUUGAAUUGGAAAAUGUUGUUUUAUCUCCCCAUAAUGCUGUCUUUACACCCGAAUCUUUCCUGGCUUUGAGUGAACUUGUGGUGGGGAAUUUGGAAGCUUUCUUCUCUAACUUGCCGUUACUUUCUCCAGUCAUGGAUGAAUGAGUUGAUGGUCAGAGCAAAAAUGGUUUGGCUUUUUGUGGAAAAUGCAGCAAAUGGUACAUUUUUUUCCAUCUUUUUGAGAAUUCUUUUUGGCGUGCCAAUAAAGAAAAUCUCAUUUUUUGUUUCACAGAAUACAGGGUUUGGCCGGCAUUUAACUUCAGGUACUUUUUUUUUUUUUUUUUUUUU
This 2101-nucleotide unclassified non-coding RNA is filed under the name Hevea brasiliensis (rubber tree). Lineage: Eukaryota; Viridiplantae; Streptophyta; Magnoliopsida; Malpighiales; Euphorbiaceae. The record is from RNAcentral.